GGACGGGUGAGUAACGCGUGGGUAACCUGCCUUGUACUGGGGGACGAACAGUUAGAAAUGACUGCUAAUACCGCAUAAGCGCACAGUAUCGCAUGAUACAGUGUGAAAAACUCCGGUGGUACAAGAUGGACCCGCGUCUGAUUAGCCAGUUGGUAAGGUAACGGCUUACCAAGGCGACGAUCAGUAGCCGACCUGAGAGGGUGACCGGCCACAUUGGGACUGAGACACGGCCCAAACUCCUACGGGAGGCAGCAUG
This 256-nucleotide ribosomal RNA is filed under the name uncultured bacterium. Its description in RNAcentral is "partial 16S ribosomal RNA". It matches the Rfam family "Bacterial small subunit ribosomal RNA", at positions 100 to 353 of the family's 1533-position model. The record is from RNAcentral.